This 1438-nucleotide ribosomal RNA is filed under the name Pedobacter wanjuense. RNAcentral's name for it is "16S ribosomal RNA". It matches the Rfam family "Bacterial small subunit ribosomal RNA". Lineage: Bacteria; Pseudomonadati; Bacteroidota; Sphingobacteriia; Sphingobacteriales; Sphingobacteriaceae. The record is from RNAcentral.
GCAGGCCUAAUACAUGCAAGUCGAACGCGAUUAAGGGGCUUGCUCCUUAUGAAAGUGGCGCACGGGUGCGUAACGCGUAUGCAACCUACCUUUAUCAGGGGGAUAGCCCGGAGAAAUCCGGAUUAACACCGCAUAAAAUCACAGGAUAGCAUUAUUCAAUGAUCAAAUAUUUAUAGGAUAAAGAUGGGCAUGCGUGUCAUUAGCUAGUUGGCGGGGUAACGGCCCACCAAGGCGACGAUGACUAGGGGAUCUGAGAGGAUGGCCCCCCACACUGGUACUGAGACACGGACCAGACUCCUACGGGAGGCAGCAGUAAGGAAUAUUGGUCAAUGGAGGGAACUCUGAACCAGCCAUGCCGCGUGCAGGAAGACUGCCCUAUGGGUUGUAAACUGCUUUUAUCCGGGAAUAAACCUACUUACGUGUAAGUAGCUGAAUGUACCGGAAGAAUAAGGAUCGGCUAACUCCGUGCCAGCAGCCGCGGUAAUACGGAGGAUCCAAGCGUUAUCCGGAUUUAUUGGGUUUAAAGGGUGCGUAGGCGGCCUGUUAAGUCAGGGGUGAAAGACGGUAGCUCAACUAUCGCAGUGCCCUUGAUACUGAUGGGCUUGAAUGGACUAGAGGUAGGCGGAAUGAGACAAGUAGCGGUGAAAUGCAUAGAUAUGUCUCAGAACACCGAUUGCGAAGGCAGCUUACUAUGGUCUUAUUGACGCUGAGGCACGAAAGCGUGGGGAUCAAACAGGAUUAGAUACCCUGGUAGUCCACGCCCUAAACGAUGAACACUCGCUGUUGGCGAUACACAGUCAGCGGCUAAGCGAAAGCGUUAAGUGUUCCACCUGGGGAGUACGCCCGCAAGGGUGAAACUCAAAGGAAUUGACGGGGGCCCGCACAAGCGGAGGAGCAUGUGGUUUAAUUCGAUGAUACGCGAGGAACCUUACCCGGGCUUGAAAGUUAGUGAAUGAUUUAGAGAUAGAUCAGUGAGCAAUCACACGAAACUAGGUGCUGCAUGGCUGUCGUCAGCUCGUGCCGUGAGGUGUUGGGUUAAGUCCCGCAACGAGCGCAACCCCUAUGUUUAGUUGCCAGCAUGUAAUGAUGGGGACUCUAAACAGACUGCCUGUGCAAACAGAGAGGAAGGAGGGGACGACGUCAAGUCAUCAUGGCCCUUACGUCCGGGGCUACACACGUGCUACAAUGGAUGGUACAGAGGGCAGCUACAUAGCAAUAUGAUGCGAAUCUCACAAAGCCAUUCACAGUUCGGAUUGGGGUCUGCAACUCGACCCCAUGAAGUUGGAUUCGCUAGUAAUCGCGUAUCAGCAAUGACGCGGUGAAUACGUUCCCGGGCCUUGUACACACCGCCCGUCAAGCCAUGGAAGCUGGGGGUACCUAAAGUAUGUAACCGCAAGGAGCGUCCUAGGGUAAAACCGGUAACUGGGGCUAAGUCGUA